This 464-nucleotide ribosomal RNA is filed under the name uncultured bacterium. RNAcentral describes it as "partial 16S ribosomal RNA". It matches the Rfam family "Bacterial small subunit ribosomal RNA", at positions 339 to 795 of the family's 1533-position model. The record is from RNAcentral.
CUACGGGGUGCUCCAGUGGGGAAUAUUGCACAAUGGGCGCAAGCCUGAUGCAGCCAUGCCGCGUGUAUGAAGAAGGCCUUCGGGUUGUAAAGUACUUUCAGCGGGGAGGAAGGGUGUAAAGUUAAUACCUUUGCUCAUUGACGUUACCCGCAGAAGAAGCACCGGCUAACUCCGUGCCAGCAGCCGCGGUAAUACGGAGGGUGCAAGCGUUAAUCGGAAUGACUGGGCGUAAAGCGCACGCAGGCGGUUUGUUAAGUCAGAUGUGAAAUCCCCGGGCUCAACCUGGGAACUGCAUCUGAUACUGGCAAGCUUGAGUCUCGUAGAGGGGGGUAGAAUUCCAGGUGUAGCGGUGAAAUGCGUAGAGAUCUGGAGGAACACCGGUGGCGAAGGCGGCCCCCUGGACGAAGACUGACGCUCAGGUGCGAAAGCGUGGGGAGCAAACAGGAUUAGAUACCCCUGUAGUC